RNAcentral lists this long non-coding RNA (1763 nucleotides) under Gallus gallus (chicken). Its description in RNAcentral is "lncRNA (ENSGALG00010027493.1)". Lineage: Eukaryota; Metazoa; Chordata; Aves; Galliformes; Phasianidae. The record is from RNAcentral.
GAAAAUCAAACCAGCAAGCUUCAUCAUUUCAGCAAAUGCAGCUUGUAUUGUGCAUGAAAUAUAAAAUUAAGAACAUAACUUUUGGGAUUGGUGGCAACCCCUUGGAGUGGAUGCUGCAGUAGAGACCCCUGCCAAGGAUGCAGGGGUCCAGGAGUGGGAAUGAGCGCCGCACCGAGCUGCCUGCACACCUCUAUGCAAAGGGGAAUCGGGCUGUUUCAGAGAGAGAAGCUAUUUUUUCCUCUUGCUUUCGGUGCUCCCAGCUGCCCCAGGGACACAGCUAGCAACUCCACUGCUGCAGCUCUUGAGUAAUGGAUACCUCCUGAAAUUGCACCUUGGAAGCAGCUGACUGGUUCCUGCAAUGAGCUCCUGAAUAAUUGAAGCAAUAUUUGUGGGUUUUGCACUGAAGUACUAACAGCUGCAGUAUGUUUUGAUAUUUAUGAAGCCCAAUAAAUUAUGGAUUAGGCAGUGCAGCGAGCCCAGCUUGAUACUUAGUGCUGCCAGAGUGCCAGUGCUGAUGGUGCACGGUUCUCCCCAGUUCACUUCCAUUGUGUAGCUGGGUAGGACUGGUGUCUGUCACUGGGCUUACUCACAGGUUGAAGUUCCAAUCCCCAAGAGCUGGUAGUGUGUUUUGAAUUGCACCUCACUACAUAGAUUUUAUGAAGACAAGCUGAGGCUGUAUUUCAGGUCACGGGACAUUGCAGAGGUGGAGAUGUCCAUUUUCUUGAUAAUGGAGGAUGCAGAAUUAGUGGCAAGAGUUAAGCUGGAAAUAACAUAAAACCCAGUCUUGCUUUCAAAGGGUUCCAUGGGUAAAUAUCAGCCACCUUCUCCAGGAUGCCUCAUUCGGAGUACAAGCUUUUCUUUGUCACUUAUGAGAUUAAACUCUGUGCUCGGCUUUUUACUAUCCAGGCAAAUUUUGUUUCAUGCCUGAGAGUGUUUUCGUUUUGCAGAUGAUCCAGACACAUUCCAGAUAUCCCCCCAUCGGCACGGGCUGCACGCUGGGAAGGGAUGGGAAACAAGGAAAUAACUGCUUGAAGCAGCAGAUGGCAUCCUACUCCUCAGAAGCUUUCCUGUCUCUGUGGAAGUACAAUAAAUACAGACUACACGUGUGCGUGCUCUGGUCACAGCUGCACAAAGGGAUUUGGUAGAGAACGGCACUGCAUUAAGAAGAUUCAAAAUGAAGAACUCCCCAUCUCCAUUGGAGAGGUGAGAGGGGGACUGGAUGAACCAGUGCCCCAUGGGAUCUGACCCUACCCUACCCACCUCCCGCAUCUUCCAAUCUUGCAAGGGGAGCCCAGGGAAGGCAACAGCCAUAUCUCCUCUGUACAGUGGCUGCUUUCUAAAGAGGAGGGGCAGAAAUUCUCCCUCCAGCAGAAGGCAGCAGGAGAGCUCCCAGCAAAGGACUAAGCAACAAGCAAAGAGUGCUGGCCAAGCAUGAAUUUUCUAACAAAAUAAAGAAUUGAAUCUGGUUAUGACUAAUUGGGAGAGCUAAUCAAACUUCUUUUUAUAACUGUUUCCCCAGUAUCCCAGGGGAUGCCCCAUAUGUGCCCUUGGACCAUGCGUGUAACACAGAAAGAUCCAGUGACUUCCACUGACAUGCUGAGUACACUUCAGAGUGACAACAUAAGCCAGAGAGCAAAAGCUGUAUGAGAAUGACUCUCCUGGUACCAGCACAGCCCCCUGUGGGUUCCAGCACCAGUAUCUUUCCCUUGGAUUCCCACAUUAGAUGCCCAUUUCUCCCCAUUGCUAACAGCAGCCUCCAUGGG